GACGAACGCUGGCGGCGUGCUUAACACAUGCAAGUCGAACGCUGAAGCUUGGUGCUUGCACUGGGUGGAUGAGUGGCGAACGGGUGAGUAAUACGUGAGUAACCUGCCCUUGACUCUGGGAUAAGCCUGGGAAACUGGGUCUAAUACUGGAUAUGACAUGCCACUGCAUGGUGGUGUGUGGAAAGGGUUUUACUGGUUUUGGAUGGGCUCACGGCCUAUCAGCUUGUUGGUGGGGUAAUGGCCUACCAAGGCGACGACGGGUAGCCGGCCUGAGAGGGUGACCGGCCACACUCGGACUGAGACACGGCCCAGACUCCUACGGGAGGCAGCAGUGGGGAAUAUUGCACAAUGGGCGGAAGCCUGAUGCAGCGACGCCGCGUGAGGGAUGACGGCCUUCGGGUUGUAAACCUCUUUCAGCACGGAAGAAGCGAGAGUGACGGUACGUGCAGAAGAAGCGCCGGCUAACUACGUG
Molecule: ribosomal RNA, 472 nt
Filed under: uncultured bacterium
Lineage: Bacteria
Description: partial 16S ribosomal RNA
Rfam family: Bacterial small subunit ribosomal RNA
Source: RNAcentral